UCCACCACUAGUGGCCGAUCAUCGACCACCUCACGACCACACAUGCAUGGGUAUGUCUCGGUUCACCCCUCAAUGAUCAUUUCAAGGCCACACACACCGUUUCACCACCCUAGCACUCACGGGCGACCUCACGACCACACACACACUGUUUUGCCACCAUUGGCACCCACCGACCAUCAUACGGCCACACACUCACCCUGCUUCACUUGUAACGGCCC
Molecule: long non-coding RNA, 218 nt
Filed under: Carica papaya (papaya)
Lineage: Eukaryota; Viridiplantae; Streptophyta; Magnoliopsida; Brassicales; Caricaceae
Description: long non-coding RNA (CPAP_LNC002349)
Source: RNAcentral